UACAGAGGUCUCAAGCGUUGUUCGGAUUCAUUGGGCGUAAAGGGUGCGUAGGUGGCGGGGUUAGUCAGGUGUGAAAUCUCGGGGCUCAACCCCGAAACUGCACUUGAUACUGCCUUGCUAGAGUACUGGAGAGGAGAUUGGAAUUUACGGUGUAGCAGUGAAAUGCGUAGAUAUCGUAAGGAAGACCAGUGGCGAAGGCGAAUCUCUGGACAGUUCCUGACGCUGAGGCACGAAGGCCAGGGGAGCAAACGGG
RNAcentral lists this ribosomal RNA (253 nucleotides) under uncultured bacterium. RNAcentral's name for it is "partial 16S ribosomal RNA". It matches the Rfam family "Bacterial small subunit ribosomal RNA", at positions 524 to 776 of the family's 1533-position model. The record is from RNAcentral.